CGACCGGCGCACGGGUGAGUAACACGUAUGUAAUCUACCUGUAACAGAGGGAUAACCCGGAGAAAUCCGGACUAAUACCUCAUAGCACAUAUUAUUCGCAUGAAUUUUAUGUUAAAGAGACUCGGUUACAGAUGAACAUGCGUUCCAUUAGCUAGUUGGCGGGGUUACGGCCCACCAAGGCAACGAUGGAUAGGGGUUCUGAGAGGAAGGUCCCCCACACUGGUACUGAGACACGGACCAG
Molecule: ribosomal RNA, 241 nt
Filed under: uncultured bacterium
Lineage: Bacteria
Description: partial 16S ribosomal RNA
Rfam family: Bacterial small subunit ribosomal RNA
Source: RNAcentral